Molecule: transfer RNA, 76 nt
Filed under: Gammaproteobacteria bacterium
Lineage: Bacteria; Pseudomonadati; Pseudomonadota; Gammaproteobacteria
Also listed under: 7 other names
Description: tRNA-Phe
Rfam family: tRNA
About the family: Transfer RNA (tRNA) molecules are approximately 80 nucleotides in length. Their secondary structure includes four short double-helical elements and three loops (D, anti-codon, and T loops).
Source: RNAcentral
GGCCAGAUAGCUCAGUUGGUAGAGCAAAGGACUGAAAAUCCUUGUGUCCCUGGUUCGAUUCCAGGUCUGGCCACCA